This 469-nucleotide ribosomal RNA is filed under the name uncultured Desulfobulbus sp. Its description in RNAcentral is "bacterial SSU rRNA". It matches the Rfam family "Bacterial small subunit ribosomal RNA", at positions 920 to 1382 of the family's 1533-position model. The record is from RNAcentral. Lineage: Bacteria; Pseudomonadati; Thermodesulfobacteriota; Desulfobulbia; Desulfobulbales; Desulfobulbaceae.
CCCGGCGCGAAGCGGUGGAGUAUGUGGUUUAAUUCGAUGCAACGCGAAGAACCUUACCUGGUCUUGACAUCCCGGAGACCCUUAGGAAACUAGGGGUGCUUCCAUCUGGAAGAAUCUGGAGACAGGUGCUGCAUGGCUGUCGUCAGCUCGUGUCGUGAGAUGUUGGGUUAAGUCCCGCAACGAGCGCAACCCUUGCCUUUAGUUGCCAGCAGUUCGGCUGGGCACUCUAAAGGGACUGCCGGUGUUAAACCGGAGGAAGGUGGGGAUGACGUCAAGUCCUCAUGGCCUUUAUGGCCAGGGCUACACACGUACUACAAUGGCCGGUACAAAGGGCAGCGACACUGCGAGGUGAAGCCAAUCCCGUAAAAUCGGUCUCAGUCCGGAUUGGAGUCUGCAACUCGACUCCAUGAAGUUGGAAUCGCUAGUAAUCGUGGAUCAGCAUGCCACGGUGAAUACGUUCCCGGGCCUU